This 418-nucleotide ribosomal RNA is filed under the name uncultured bacterium. RNAcentral's name for it is "bacterial SSU rRNA". It matches the Rfam family "Bacterial small subunit ribosomal RNA", at positions 355 to 774 of the family's 1533-position model. The record is from RNAcentral.
UGGGGAAUCUUGCGCAAUGGCCGAAAGGCUGACGCAGCGACGCCGCGUGGAGGAUGACGCCCUUCGGGGUGUAAACUCCUGUUGCCCGGGACGAAUACCCGUUUCGACGGGGGUGACGGUACCGGGUGAGGAAGCACCGGCUAACUCUGUGCCAGCAGCCGCGGUAAUACGGAGGGUGCGAGCGUUGUCCGGAAUCACUGGGCGUAAAGGGCGCGUAGGCGGCUGGGUAAGCGUGUGGUGAAAGCCCGGGGCUCAACCCCGGGUCGGCCAUGCGAACUGUCCAGCUGGAGCACGGUAGAGGCACAUGGAAUUCCGGGUGUAGCGGUGGAAUGCGUAGAGAUCCGGAAGAACACCGGUGGCGAAGGCGGUGUGCUGGGCCGUGGCUGAUGCUGAGGCGCGACAGCGUGGGGAGCAAACA